RNAcentral lists this ribosomal RNA (331 nucleotides) under uncultured bacterium. RNAcentral describes it as "bacterial SSU rRNA". It matches the Rfam family "Bacterial small subunit ribosomal RNA", at positions 29 to 361 of the family's 1533-position model. The record is from RNAcentral.
AUUGAACGCUGGCGGAAUGCUUUACACAUGCAAGUCGAGCGGCAGCGCGGGGCAACCUGGCGGCGAGCGGCGAACGGGUGAGUAAUACAUCGGAACGUGCCCAGACGUGGGGGAUAGCCCGGCGAAAGCCGGAUUAAUACCGCAUACGAUCCACGGAUGAAAGCGGGGGACCGGCAAGGCCUCGCGCGUCUGGAGCGGCCGAUGGCAGAUUAGGUUGUUGGUGAGGUAAAGGACUCACCAAGCCUGCGAUCUGUAGCUGGUCUGAGAGGAUGAUCAGCCACAUCGGGACUGAGACACGGCCCGAACUCCUACAGGAGGCAGCAGUGGGGAA